CAGGCAGCUGCCCAAUGCUGGUGGCGGCGAGCCGGCGAACCACCGUCCCUGCCGACCUCACGCUGCUUCGGCUGCCCUCUCGCCUUCUAGCUCGCCGCUCGUGCCUCUCUAGAAGGCGGGCAGCAGCAGGGGCCGGUCUCCAGCAGGAGCAGGCAGCCUCUCCGUCUCCAGCAGGCCGGUAGCGGCAGCAGCCAGCAGCAGCAGGUGCAGGGCAGGGGCCUCUCUCUCCAGCAAUAGCAGGCGCAGGGCAGCAGCAGGGCAGGGGCCUCUCUCUCCAGACUCUCCGGACUCUCCAGCAACAGCAGGCGCAGGGCAGCAGCAGGGCAGGGCAGCAGCCAGCAGUAGGCAGGGGAAUGUACCUAAGAUGAUCAUUAGAUUGUUUGAUCUGCAUAACGUUGGAUAGCCAAGAUGGAUAGAAGUUGGGUGCAUGCUAGACUGUUCUCUCAAGAUUACAUCAAUGGUGUCAAAGAAUUUAUGAGCUUUAUUCAUGAGAAAUUUGGUGAGGAGGAAGAAAUUUUAUGCCCUUGCAGUAGAUGCCUGAAUCAGAGGUAUCAACAUCAAACUCUUGUGGAGAGGCAUAUAUUGAUGAAUGGCAUGGAAAGUACCUAUACUCGAUGGAUUCAUCAUGGAGAGAACAUUGAUGUAUAUGGUAAUGAGCAUUCUACUAAUGAGUUAGGUAUGAGUAUGACUGAGCAUGACAACCAUGAUGAUGGUAAUUUGAAUGGGUUGCUGCAAGACCUACACACUGCAGAGAAAGAUAAAGAAGAUGGUGAAAAUGAGAAUGAUGCAGAAUCUAGUGAUAAGGAGUCGUUUUACAAAAUAGUGAUGAAAGAGGCGAAGCGUCAGCUUUAUCCAGGUUGUACCAAAGUUUCGAAGUUGUCCUUUGUGGUAAAGCUUCUUCAUAUGAAGUCAUUGUAUAGGAUCUGCAAUUCUGCCUUUUCUGCAAUAUUAAAGCUUUUGGCUGAAGCUUUUCCAGAAUGCAAUACGCUCCCUAAAUCAUAUUACGAAGCAAAGACUCUUCUAAAGGAAUUAGGUCUUGGGUAUGAAUCAAUACAUGUGUGUUACAAUAAUUGUGUGCUCUUCAGAAAGAAAUAUGCCAAGCUUGACGCUUGCCCUGUUUGUGGUCUCUCAAGAUGGGUUGAUGCUGAAAGAAAGAAGAUCCCACAGAAAGUGUUACGAUAUUUUCCGUUGAUACCGAGGCUACAGAGGAUGUUUGUGAACAAAGAAUCAGCAGAACAAGCACAAUGGCACAAGCUAAAGCGAAAUCCUAAGGAAAAGGAAAUGAGCCACCCAGCUGAUGGUGAGGCAUGGCAAGAUUUUGAUAGAGUAUAUCCUAAUUUUGGAAAAGAUGCAAGACACCUUAGACUUGGCCUAGCUACCGAUGGUUUUAACCCUUUUUCUGAAAAGAACACUAAAUACAGCAUGUGGCCUGUAUUUGUUGUGCCAUACAAUCUUUCACCUUGGGCGUGCAUGGAUGAGUCAAAUUUCAUGAUGUCUUUGCUUAUUCCUGGUCCCGCAUCACCUGGAAAGGAUUUUGAUGUAUUCUUAGAACCUCUUAUUGAAGAUUUGCUUGAGCUUUGGACAGGUGUAUGUACUUAUGAUGCUCUAAGUGGAAAAAAGUUUAACCUUCGUGCUGCAGUUUUAUGGUGCAUCCAUGAUUACCCAGCUUUGAGCACUCUUUCAGGGCGUACAACAAAAGGCUAUUUCGCAUGUACUCAUUGUGACAAGCAUCCUCUUUCAUACAGACUACGGAGCAAAAUUGGUUAUUUUGGACAUUUUCGCUUUGUUCCGGUGGGACAUCGUUUGCGUAGAAAUAAUGAAUUUGUUGGCCUUCAUGAAAGCAAUGACCCCCCAAGUAAAUUCUCUAUAGAAGAGUUGAUGGCUGAAUUGGAGAGAGUUAAACAUGUCAGGCCUGGAAAGCAACAAGGAAGUACUAGAAAGCAACUAGAAAGUAGGAAAAGGAAGCAUUCUAAUAUGGACAAGGAUCAUGUAGUCAUUUGGAGUCGGAUGGUUAGUUUAUGGAAGUUACCAUAUUGGAAGAAUUUGAAACUGAGACAUAAUCUUGAUGUCAUGCAUAUCGAGAAAAACAUAUGUGAGAACUUGAUUGGGACAAUUCUUAAUAUACCUGGGAAGACAAAGGACACGGUUAAAGCUAGACUAGAUCUGAAAGAUUUGGGUAUUAGGAAGGAGCUGCAAUUUAAGGAGAAAGGAGAUUCAUGUGAGAUGCCUCGUGCAAGAUAUACUUUGUCCACACAACAAAAGAAGGCCUUUUGUGAAUUUUUGCGAGAGGUGAAGUUUCUGGAUGGAUUUGCCUCCAACAUAUCAAGAUGUUUAAGUACUGAGGGUACCAAGUUACAAGGGCUCAAAACACAUGAUUGUCCCAUUCUUUUGCAAAGAAUAUUACCAGCUGCCAUGAGAGGGCUUUUGGACAAGGAUAUUUAUGAAGCGUUAGCGGAGUUGGGGAAAUUUUUCAGGGAAUUGUGCAGCAAAACUCUUAACAAGGAUGUGUUGGCUGAAAUGAAGAAAUAAAUCCCAAUAAUUUUGGUGAAGCUUGAGAAAAUAUUUCCCCCGGCUUUCUUUGAUGUGAUGGUGCACUUAGCUGUACAUCUACCUGAUGAAGCAUUGCUGCGAGGUCCUGUGCAAUAUGGUUGGAUGUACCCAAUUGAAAGGCGGCUGUAUACUUUAAAGCGCUAUGUAAGGAAUAGGGCGCGGCCAGAAGGCUCAAUUGCUGAGGCAUGUAUUGCAGAUGAGUGCUUGACGUUUUGCUCUAGAUACAUGGAUGAUGUUGAAACAAGAUUUAAUCGGGAACCAAGAAAUAAAGGUUUUUCUAAUGAGGAUGCCUAUAGCGUUGAUGUUUUUGGGCAUGGAGUUAGUUUCACCUCUGCAACUGAACUUGUAUAUGAUGAUACUGCCAUUGAUCAAAUGGUGUGGUAUAUUCUAAAUAACUGUAGUCAGGUUGAGAAAUAUAUGAGAAUGUUUAUAGAAGAAUUAGAGGGAGCAGGGACACCUGACAUUGAAAGAACAUUGCGGCAAGGAUUUCAGACUUGGUUCAGGAACCAUAUCCUAAGGUUGCGGAAUAUGAAUCAAGAAGAGGUUGAUGAUGAUCUAUUUUCUUUGGCUUGUGGUCCUGAUUUAAGAGUUAGAAAAUACUCCUCAUGCAUAGUGAAUGGUGUGCGGUUUAACACCCUUGACCGUGACAAGCACCGAAAGACACAAAAUAGUGGAGUCAUGACAAGAGGUACACAUAACGGCGAAGAAAUUAUUUUUUUUGGAACCUUAAGGGAGAUUAUUCAGUUAGAAUAUAACUUUUAUGAGAGAUCAGUAGUUUUGUUUAAAUGUGAUUGGUUUAAAUUGGAUGGGAAGAGGACUGCACUUAAGGAUGAUGGUUUUUUUAAAAGCAUCAAUCUUGGAAGUCUAUGGUACAAGAAUGAUUCGUUUAUUUUGGCCACUCAAGCAAGCAAGGUCUUCUAUUUACCGGACACAAAGUUCGGUAAAAACUGGUAUAUAUGUUGUCCAGUCAUUUGACCAUAGGCAUCUUUACAAUGUGAGUGAAAUUGAAACUACACAAUAUAAUGCUCCUGCAUAUCAAGAAGAUGAGUGUUGUGAAGAGAAUGGUAGCCGGCAAAUAGUUUCAGACAUUAUCUAUGAAAAGCCUUUAAGUAGAGAUGAUGAACAAGGCCCUAUUUUUGCAGCUGCUGAAAUUGCAAAGUUAAUAAAAGCAAAAGGCCUAGAAGUGCAUGAGAGUGAUAGUGAACAAGAAGAAGAUGAUGACACAAUUUUGGAGUAUUGCAGUGAAGCUGAAGAAGGAGUCGCAAAUGAGGUUGACAGUGAUGAUGAAUAGCCAAUUCUAGUUGGACAAUUUUCAGACCAUCUUUGUGUCCAGUUUGAUACAUUUAGUUGUCAAAUGACAUUUGUAAUGUUUAGUUGUGAAAUGACAUUUGUAAUGUUUAGUUCUGACAUUUAUCAAAAUAGACCAUGCUCAAUUCAGAUGUAUCUAUUUAUUUUGAUGACAUUUAUAUCUAUUUUCAUUCUGUUGCUGUCAACAGUUUCAAGAUUCUGAUGUAAACU
Panicum hallii is the source of this 4068-nucleotide RNA transcript. RefSeq lists it as uncharacterized. The transcript is spliced from 5 exons. The record is from RefSeq and is a predicted model, not a curated record. Lineage: Eukaryota; Viridiplantae; Streptophyta; Magnoliopsida; Poales; Poaceae.